GUAAAUGGAAGAAACAGAGCCCUCUGGGCUCGGCUUCCCUCCUUCCCUCGGCAGAUUCUCGUCUCAAAAGAUUUUCCGAGGGGUAUCUAGAGUUUUCUUAGAGGAUUGUGCUUUCUAUAUUUUAAUCUGUCUUGCUCUUGUUUGCUCAUAUUUAUCAUGUAUAUUAACUCUCCCAGAGACUCUUGUUCCAGUUUCAUAUACAUACCUGUUCGUAUUUUCGCUUGGACCAUGUUGUUUGUUUCCUUGUUCUAUUGGACUUUGCUCGAUGUAUUCUUCCUCUCGUGACUCGUUUUCGUUGUGCUCUAUUGGUUGGCUAUGUUUGUAUUUUUGGUCAAUUGCUAUUAGGCAUAUAGACUGAGGCAGAUAUGGGACUGAGCUUAUUAAGCUGCCUUUUCGCCAAGAAGGAAAUGCGUAUUCUGUACAAUCUGAAGCUAGGUGAAAUUGUCACCACGAUCCCAAGUCCCAACCAUCAGUAAGGAUCAAAAGGUUAUUUCAGUUUUCUUGACAAAACAUGAUCAGAUGGAAUGGUGGAAGUGUCUUGUGAAAGGGAGCCUGAGGUAGACACUCAGAAAGUUGAACCAGAGAACUGCAAAUUAUCUGACCUUGACCCCGAACCAGACGGACCAUCGAGAAAAUGAUGGCAGAAACAGAUGGGAUUCCCGGCGAGCUAUGAGUUGCAGAAGCAAUAGAUCCUCAAGAAAUUCAAGGCCGAGCACCCGGAAAUGGAUUUCUCAAAUGCAAAAAUCGUUUGAUCUUCGGAUUAUGACUGUUCUUUUGAACGUGGAGAGCGCUGCCGCUGAGCACAUGCUGCUAUAGAGGGAGGCCAGGAAAAGCUCCGCCCACUGUGGAGGCACUUCUUCCAGAACACCCAUGGUCGUAUACAUUUGCUUUGGACAGCAAUCCCAGGGACCGCAUUGUCGAGGCAAGGGAUGAAUUAUCACCUUUUGUUGAACAAGAUUUGCGAAUUCUUAAAUCGAUUCUCUGUUCUGUACUUGAAGUUUAUUUGUGCUCUUGCUUAGCUGCUGAAGUAUGGUAGUCAGGUUUAGUUUUCCGGGUCUGUGUCCGUCCAAUCUUUGCCUUUUGGAAUCAUAGCUUUGUUGUCUGGUCCCUUAAGCUCCAUCGCCAUCUUCACAUUCUUCGGUGGAGAGUAUCGAUUUCAACGCUUUUCAGGCCUUGUUUGGAAGCCAGUUCCUUGACGCAAAAGCCCUUCUACGUUUUAUGCAGCAAAAAUCAUUUUCUUGAACCCGUCUUCGUAUAUAAUUGUCAUCUUGUUAUCUCUCUGGUAAAAAUUCUCUCCGACUUGGUUUAAAUCUGAAUGCAGGAUGAACCGAGAAGUGCGGCUCAGCUUUUGUUUUCCGUUCCAGCUUUUUUUGUUCUAAUUAGUGAUUACGUGUCGAGACAGGAGGUGUGUUGUAGAUCUGUCAGUUGGAUGGAAAAACAUCAAAGUCUAUAAUUGUUUUCCAGCAAAAAAGUUUGAAGCUA
Molecule: long non-coding RNA, 1482 nt
Organism: Tarenaya hassleriana
Lineage: Eukaryota; Viridiplantae; Streptophyta; Magnoliopsida; Brassicales; Cleomaceae
Exons: 6
Source: RefSeq, a predicted model, not a curated record